RNAcentral lists this long non-coding RNA (1753 nucleotides) under Oreochromis niloticus (Nile tilapia). Its description in RNAcentral is "lncRNA (ENSONIG00000034025.1)". Lineage: Eukaryota; Metazoa; Chordata; Actinopteri; Cichliformes; Cichlidae. The record is from RNAcentral.
GUCUUCUAUGUGCUUUCAUUGUCAGAGCCCUGUGUAAAGUCAUUGGCGACCAACCAGAAAUGUGGGAUGAGUAUCUGGAUGCUGUAAUGUUUGGACUCAGAACUAAAAAACAAGUGACCACCAAAUACUCACCUUAUUACCUAAUGUUUGGCAGAGAGGCUCGCUAUCCUUCCGAAAUCCCAGAAGAGUUCAUGGUAUGUCUUUCUGUCUGUGACAAACUACACGGAAAUCCCACACAACGAAACUUUUUUUAGUUUUUGAGGCACAGGCAGAUCAGUUUCAAUGGAUGCUAUGUCACCGCCAUAAAAGCACUACACCAUUGAAUAUUUUUAUGGAUUGUUCAAACCCUCAAUAACAGUUUUCUUCAUGUCCAAUCAAUCCCAAGAUACACUGAAGCUUUGCCAGAAAUACAUUGUGUCUUAAAACCUUACCAAAGACACUUAAUGUAAAUUUUCACUGUAUUUCUCAGUUCUUUUAUGUAUUAUCUGUGUAUCUUACACAAAUUAUAGUAAUGAUAGACAUGUCUUUUGAUUCAAAGGUUGAUGAGAGUGUGGAAGACAUUGUGGGGCAGGAGGAGCUGUCGGAAGACAUUCAAAAGCAUCAAAAGCUGUUGGAACUGGUGAAGGACAAUGUGGUCAAAGCUCAGGAAAAAACAAAGGGCAAAAUAAAAAUGAUGACGAGAGAUGUCGUCUUCAAAGUUGGUGACAAAGUUUUAAGAGCUAACAUAAGAAGUCAGCAGAGGAAAGGGGGAAAACUUGAAGCAAACUUUUUAGGCCCUUACAUUAUUACAGCAAUCCAAGGUAAAAGUGCAGAUCUUCAGGAUUCCAAUGGGACAAUCAUUCCAAAAGUAAAUAUUGACCAACUAAAGUUAAGCAAAGACAGCAUGCCAAGAGUGCCACACCGGGGUUCAAAGAAAACAGCAGCCACAUUACCAACAGCACAACCAGGUCCAGCAGCACCACAAGCUGCAGCAGCACCAGCAUCUGCUCUAGCUUCACAGGCUACAGCAGCACCAGUGGCGGUAGCACCACCACCACCUCCUCCUAGAGCUACACAGCCUACAGCACCAAUGGCAUCACUUACAUCACUAUCGGUUCAAACACAACAUCCAUCUCCAGUUCCACAAGGUAUAGCAAUAACGGUAUCAGAUCCAGAGUCAGGAGCAACAGCACAGAAAGAGAACGAACCAGCCACAAGUGCUACAGCACCAGAAUAUGCUACAGCUGUACAAACCGAAUCCCAAACAGCAGCAGACCCAGCCUCAAAGACCAUAACAGCAGACCAGGCCUCACAAACCACAACAGCAGACCAGGCCUCACAAACCACAACAGCAGACCCAGCCUCACAAACCACAACAGCAGACCAGGCCUCACAAACCACAACGGCAGCAGACCCAGCAUCACAGACCACAACGGCAGCAGACCCAUCCUCACAGACCACAGCUCCAAAUGCUACAACCACACAAGCCUCAGCUCCACAGAUUACAGCCCAGCAAUCUACAGCACAAACCAUGGAAGCAACAGUUCCACUUGUGACACCAGCCCCAGCAACAGCCACACAAGCUAGCCCUGCACCACCUCCAGCAUCACCCUCUCAGAGAUACACUGAACCUGUUGCAGAGAAAUAUAUAAUGGAUGCCUGGGCUGGAAAGAGUCCUCACGUUCUACUCUCCAAAAUUGGUGCUUACAAAUUAUUCUACUGGGAUAUCCAACAAAUUGGUCCGGACAUGGAGUUGGAAAGUGAGGUACAGUGA